This is a long non-coding RNA of Alligator mississippiensis (American alligator), 4932 nucleotides long. RefSeq lists it as uncharacterized. The transcript has 3 exons. The record is from RefSeq and is a predicted model, not a curated record. Lineage: Eukaryota; Metazoa; Chordata; Crocodylia; Alligatoridae.
CCAACCGCCCCGCCCCGCCCCUCGCUCCGUCCCAACGGCUCGGCCAACGGCACCGCCGUGUCCCAACGGCUCCUCUGCCCGCCAGGCCGCCCCCCAGGGAGGCUCGGGAUUGCUGAGCCGGCGAGCUGCCGCCCCUGGCUCCCCACACGGGCACAGGGACCGGGAGCGAGGAGGGAGAGUCCUCGUGCCCUGCCCUGUGUUCAAGUGAGUGAGGGGAAGACUUCAUACCCCCUGCACAGCUGUGGGGAGCAACAGGACUUCCCUGUUCCUGGGCUGCAAGUAGGACCUGCGUCUUGGAUGCUUGGAGGACUGCAAGUUGGGCAGGGGCAGGGCGACUGGAGUUGAGCAGGGCCCUGAGGCAGCCCUCAGGGGAGGUGGGGCUGCUUGGGAAGUGUGGGGAGCAGAGCGUGGCUUUGUAGAGGAUGGUGGACAGGGACGGUCUUGGCUCCGGCAGGCCUGGAUGACCCUGGACAGCCCAUCCCGCCCUGCUGCCCGUGGCAGAUCUACUAUGAAGCCAACUGUGCAGUGGCACGGGCCCCCAAUGACAGGGAGCCCCAAAGUGCAGGAUUCAUCUGGGUCCCAAGAGGGGGCCCUGAAAACGAAGCUGUGCACAGGGCCCCACUAACUCUAAAUCUGCCACUGCUUGCUGCUCUGCGAUUCCUGCCGCGCUGAGGGAACCUUGUAAAGCAGGAAGAUGUUAGAAAUACAAUAGCUGAAUUUGUCACAGCUCAGAAGACAGUGAAAUGGUAAUCAAAUAAGUACAGAACAAGCUUGUUCUGGAAGAAAUUGGAAAGGCUAAAUAGCUUCCUGCAGAUGUGGAGACAGAGCAUUGCAUGCUGGGAGCUGUAGUCUCUUCAGGCCACCUCUCCAUAUUAAAAAUUGAAAGUAGCUGCAAUGUGCUUUGUUGUGCAAAAAAUAUACAGCUUUUGGCAAACUUGAGUAAAGGAAGGAGUAACAUGGUAUUUAUUGACUUAGUACAACCCUGCUUCCUUACAAAGGGCAUCACAAAAAAGUGGACUUCUUGUGAAAUUAAGCCGCCGAUGUACAAAAGCAGAGAAUAUCAAGAUAUUUCAUUUCAAAAUAGAAAACUAAAAAAAAAAAAGAUCAGGGAACAUUGGUGGGAAAAGAGAAACAAAAGCAAUAUUGGGAAAAGACAUGAGAAAUGAGAAUGCUGAAAGAUAAAUCAGCAUGUCCUCCUGGGUCAUGCAAAAACCAUCUGGCUUUAAAGCUUAUAGCUGUAGAAACGAGAAAAAAAAUCAUAUGAUAAAGCAGGGAAAUGCAAAGGGGGAAAAAAACCCUGAAGGUAGGAACAGGGCAGACAUUGCAAAAGAACAAGUUGUUUUUCAUAACAGAAGAUAAGUAUUUCUUCAUAUUAUUAUUGUUACCAUUGUUUUAAUGAGAUACUUAUAUGGCUAUUGAGAAUGUAUUAAAUACCAUGCAGCGUUUCAAGAAAACUCUAUAAAUGUGCAAAGUAUUGGGAAGAUUUUUUAAAAGUGUAUUUAAAUGAGUAUUUAAAAAACAAAUCAGUAACUUGUGAAAAUGAUGAGAUUCAUCAACGGUAGAGAGAAAUAAUAAGAGAUCCUUUAAAUAUAUAUGUGCGCGCCGGGUCUGACCCCGGGUCGCUUUCGUCGCUCUGCACGCGGGCUGUGGCCGGCAGCCCGGGCAGGCCGGGUUGGAGAGGGCGGGCGCCGAGCUAGAAUUAGGCACAGACACGUAACUGUUGAUUUUAAGAUUAUUUUACUUACACCGAGAUGGUCGUGGUGUAGGCUGAGAACUUGCUUGAGUUGCGGUUACAACAAAAAACACGAACACACGUGGAGGUUGCAAGGCUCCACGCAGACAGAACACGAACAAUCACGUGGAGCUUGCUAGGCUCCACGCAGACAAACUCCGGAUGUCCAGGACAAGCGCGCAUAAAACUCGUCGUUACAUCUUAUAGUAGGCUCCGUUCGAAGACGGGAAGAGGUGGGCAGUGGAUCAGGCCGCCAAACUCCUCUGAGCGACACACAGGGUUUCUAUUACCCUGCCGCGCACACCCAGAGUCCCCACGAGAUGGAUGCAGAGUCCUCUUCGGCUUGGGCGGAAACUGCUCAAGCCUCUUAUAUGGCUAGCAGGCCAAUCGCUAGCCGCCACGUGUGACUAAUUUAGAACUAGCCAAUUGCGGGGCACAAAUUUGCAUACGACGAGCGGGAACUCUUUGCACCAUGCAUUUCUGUGUUGCAAAGGAAAUGCACCCUGCAAAGGUCGCUGCAAAGUGGCGGGAACGCUCCUUUGCACGUGGGUUCUCUGCGCAGCAGAACUCCUCCGUGCAACGAAGUUGCAAACCCACAGGGAUAAUUCUUAGUGCCGAAGCACACACAAAAAAAAUCAGACCUUUGGGUCAUGACAAUAUAAAGGCCAGUAAUGUUGGGGUCAAUAAUGUUUCUCCAAGGAAUAGAUAAAAAUAUACUGAUAGGGGAGAAUCAAACUUUCCAGAACAACCAAACGAUUCAUUUUAAUGGCUGCUGAUUCUAAACGAUUGCCUACCAGCUACUCACUGGGCACAUCUACACAAGACGCUAUGUUGCCAUAACAAGAAGCUACAGCAACUUAACAUUGGUGGACACUAACCAUGUCACCGCUACUGCACUACUGUCAUUUCACUUCUAAAACAGAGCAGUAUUACUUCCCUUAUAGGAUAAGAAAUUUUAAUUGUUUUAAUCAACAAUGAGCUUCGUGUGUUUUGAAUCGUCUUUUAAUACUUGUCUUUUAAUAAUCAUGGAGAUUAGACAAACACCUGGCUGGGGUUACUUGACCCCAGCACUCUUUCCUGCCCAUAGCAGGGUUUGGACUCAAUGAUCUAAUAGAUCCCUUCCAACCCUAGAAAUCUAUGAAAAUAUGUUAGUGUCUUUAAAUUUUGAAGAGAUUUUUUAAUAAAAAAAAUGUUAAGACAAUUAUAUUCACUUUUUUUAGAAUUUUUUGCCUUUGUGUGUCCUUGCAUAUAAAGAGCCCUUAAGACCAAUAGCUCUUACAGUCAAAAACAGUCUAGAAAAUUAGCAAGCAUAUUUUGUUUACACUCUUAUUGUAGCAUGCAACUUAUUCCUUCAAUGUAUGUCUAAUUUCAGCUGAGUAGAAGCCUUGAUUUCAUUUAUUUGUAAUUGAUUGUGAUGAUGAUGAUGUUUUGAAAGCUAAAAAUAAGAAGGUAAGAAUUAUUUUAAGUUUCCAAAUGAUUUUUAACUGAAGGCUUUAUCUGGCAAUGGGACAAUUCAUAGUAGUAAGCACUAUGCCACAGAGUAAGUAUUUGCUGGAUCACCGCCUAACAGUAGAUAGAAUAUAAGAGGUUAAGGAAAGGCCUGAAUUAUUGGCAGUCAUUAACAUUACAUGGCACACUUCACAACAGUGGUAAUACAGAUAUAAAUUUAAAUUGAGGAGUUGUACUGUACCUAAAAAUCACUGUAAUUUUAUGCCUAUUGUUAUGUCAUAUCUGAAUUGAUGGAGCUUCAUGGAACUUGGGGUAGUUGCCUCAGUUGAUGCCAUCAGAAAAAUCAUCUCUCUUUUAUUAAACAUUUAAAAAUUUAUUUUGUGCCGUUUUAAGGGCUUUUUCCAUUUUUUCCAGAGGUCAUUAGAUUUCCACGAUCAAUUAAUCGAUGGGGGGGCUAACUUUUUUUGGCAGGCAUGCCACAAGAUAGCCCCAUACCCUCUUGGAGGGUCACUCUGAUCCCUUUCCCCUACCUGGAUCCAUUGCUGUACUUCCCACCUUUCUGCUGCAGUGUUGCUUAUCUCUUCCCUGAUCUGCCACAUGCUACACAGAGAUGGGCUAUGCUAUGUGUGGCAUGCAUGCCACAGUUUGGCCACCCCUGAAUUAAGUGAUCCCCUCAUAUCUGUAAAGCUUGCAGAGCAUUGAGGUCUCUGGAUGAAUGGCAUUAUAUUUAUAUGGAUCCAGCCUUGCAAACACUGAAUCAUACAUCUCCUUAUAAACAUAGAGCUAUUGAUUUUAAUGUGCUACAGUUCAGCAUGGAUGUAAAGGCUUGUAGGAUUAGGGCCGGCAAGACAUUAGUUGUUGAUACCAUGUGAAUGCAAAAUAUACAGCAGUUUCUAUGUCAGUGCAUAAUUACAGCUCAUUUGGCAGUAGGGUGUGUUCAGUGUUGCAAGCAAUUGUGACAGAGUGACUAAGCAACUAUUACAUCAUUACAAAUUAAGUCUACAUUGUGUUUGGGUAUUUGGGAAUUUCUUAUGAAUAGGAAACACUGAAAAAAAAGGAUGAUUUAGCACAGCUUUGUCCUAGAAACAGCACUAAAUGGUUGUUCUCUUAGCACAGUAUGGUUAGAAAAGAAGAGUGUUUACUUGAUAGAAAGGCCUUGCAAGGAUUGUUCUCAUAAGAAUUGCAAUAGCUUCAUCUUCACCAUUUUAUAGAAACCUUGGAAAAGUAGGGGUUGGCUUACUGUUUAGGUAUAAGGGGUAACAACUUCCACAUAGAGGUGCACCAAUAUAUUGGUGCCAUAUUGGAUCGGCACUGAUAAAAGGAAAAUUAAUAUUAUUGGCUAUCAGCUUUUUUUUGCCAGUGUAGCUGAUAAUAUACCAAUAAAUAUAUCUUCUGGCUGCGGCCCUGGAUGCCGUGUGCAUGUGCACCGCUGCAGUAUGCGCGUGGCCAGGAAUGAAGCGGGGCAGCAUGGAGAGCAGCACCCUGCAGGUAAGUCUGUGGAAGGAAAGGGGCUUGAGGGGACAGAUCAAGGUCUCCAGUGAGGGAGGGAGUGGGGCAAAGGCAGGGGAUGGAGCUGAGUGGGGUACUGCACAGCCAGGGUGGUGAAUGGGACCCCAGGGCUGGGACAGGGAGCGGGACAGAGCUGUGGGCAGUUCAUCCAGAGGGCAAAGUGGGGACAGUGUGCUGCUGCUGUGUGCACCCCUGGGAGAGGCAUGGGAGGCAUGUGCCCCCCCCCCCCAAUUUGUGCAUGC